AUUGAACGCUGGCGGCAUGCCUUAUACAUGCAAGUCGAACGGUAACAGGCGUCCGUGUGCUGACGAGUGGCGACCGGGUGAGUAAUGCUUCGGAACGGACCCAGUGGCGGGGGAUAACGGAGCGAAAGCUGUGCUAAUACCUCAUGCGAUCUGAGGAUGUAAGCGGGGGACCUAACAGCAAAGAUUGGCCUUGCCCCUUUGGAGCGGCCGAUGUCGGAUUAGCUAGUUGGUUGGGUAAAGGCCUACCAAGGCGACGAUCCGUAGCUGGUCUGAGAGGACGACCAGCCACACUGGGACUGAGACACGGCCCAGACUCCUACGGGAGGCAGCAGUGGGGAAUUUUGGACAAUGGGCGCAAGCCUGAUCCAGCAAUGCCGCGUGCGGGAAGAAGGCCUUCGGGUUGUAAACCGCUUUUGGCAGGAACGAAACGGUGUCCGCUAAUACCGGGCGCUAAUGACGGUACCUGCAGAAUAAGCACCGGCUAACUACGUG
Molecule: ribosomal RNA, 492 nt
Filed under: uncultured bacterium
Lineage: Bacteria
Description: partial 16S ribosomal RNA
Rfam family: Bacterial small subunit ribosomal RNA
Source: RNAcentral